UACGUAGGGUCCGAGCGUUGUCCGGAAUUAUUGGGCGUAAAGAGCUCGUAGGCGGUUUGUCGCGUCUGCUGUGAAAUCCCGAGGCUCAACCUCGGGCCUGCAGUGGGUACGGGCAGACUGGAGUGCGGUAGGGGAGAAUGGAAUUCCUGGUGUAGCGGUGAAAUGCGUUGAUAUCCGUAGGAACUCCGGUGGCGAAGGCGGCGUGCUGGAUCCCUUCUGACGCUGAGGCGCGAAAGCCAGGGGAGCAAACGGG
This 253-nucleotide ribosomal RNA is filed under the name uncultured bacterium. Its description in RNAcentral is "partial 16S ribosomal RNA". It matches the Rfam family "Bacterial small subunit ribosomal RNA", at positions 524 to 776 of the family's 1533-position model. The record is from RNAcentral.